Molecule: ribosomal RNA, 460 nt
Filed under: uncultured bacterium
Lineage: Bacteria
Description: partial 16S ribosomal RNA
Rfam family: Bacterial small subunit ribosomal RNA
Source: RNAcentral
UCUACGGGAGGCAGCAGUGAGGAAUAUUGGUCAAUGGACGAGAGUCUGAUCCAGCCAAGUAGCGUGAAGGAUGACUGCCCUAUGGGUUGUAAACUUCUUUUAUAUGGGAAUAAACUGUUCCACGUGUGGGCUUUUGUAUGUACCAUAUGAAUAAGGAUCGGCUAACUACGUGCCAGCAGCCGCGGUAAUACGGAGGAACCGAUCGUUAUCCGGAUUUAUUUGGGUUAAAGGGAGCGUUGGUGGAUUUGUAAGUCAGUUGUGAAAGUUUGCGGCUCAACCGUAAAAUUGCAGUUGAAACUGGCAGGCGGGAGUACAGUAGAGGUGGGCGGAAUUCGUGGUGUAGCGGUGACAUGCUUAGAUAUCACGAAGAACUCCGAGUGCGAAGGCAGCUCACUGGACUGCAACUGACACUGAGGCUCGAAAGUGUGGGUAUCAAACAGGACUAGAUACCCCAGCAGUC